AAAAACUAAUUUUGAGUACAAGGAUGAAAGAAGUAUCCUUGUUGAGAACCCCUUAAUUGAUGAUUAGAUGAAGAAACUUGAACUUAGAAUUCCUAUUUGUGCUCUUGAAGAUUGAAUCUUGAAGUUCUUGAAUUGGGAAUCUUUAAUUUUUAGUUAUAUUGAAAAAAGAAUGGUGGAAUUUAAAUUUCUUGAGGAGGAAGAUUUGAUGUUCUAGGAUUUCGUUGAGAGAAUGUUGAUAAAAAAUGAGAAAAAUAGUCUUAGAAUAGGUUUAAUACACUGUUAUUCAUGAUUUGGGGCUUGGAAAAUGACUAGAUCACCCUUUUAAAAUUUAAAUCAAAACUGGAAAAAUCUUGAUUCUGCCUCCCACCACGAUGCGCCGCUAUUACAGUAGCAUACUAGAAAAAGGAUGAUCGCCAUUAUGGACUCUGGUGCGAUGUGGUGAAAUUGCAUUCUGUCACUAUAAAAGGACGAGUGCCAUUUUGCACUCCACCGUGAUGCGGUGACUGUACCAUUAAGAAUUUUAACGCGACACAAGCUAAUCGCGAUGAGCUACUGUAAUAAGAAGAACGGGACUUGAAGCUUCAUCGUGACAUGGUCCCAUCGUGGUGAUUCACUAAAAUUGGACAAUUGCAGAUUUUUCCUUCACCUCAACGUGGUGCUUAUCACGAUCAUCUACUGCUUUCACUAAAAUUGCCAUAACUUCUCCACCAAGUAUUGAAUUAAGGAGAAAUUAGUAUCAUUAAAAAGCUAAUUCAAUUAUAUACAUAUUGGUGGGUCUAUAAAUAGAAAAUUCUACUUGAAUCGAGAGUUAUUUAUCUUUAAGGUUGAACCUUUACAUUCUAGGAGCUAAACUGAGCUAGAAAAAAUGUACGGGUAUUACAGUCUAGUCCCCAUCAGAAAAAAGAUAGGCUAAUUGGUUUGAAAGACAAAUCUCUUAAAAAACAUAAGCGGAAAAAAUGAUAUUGAUGAUAAUAAUAUGGAGGAUUUUCAAGAAGAUCUUCAUGACAUAGCCUAUGAAG
This 1019-nucleotide long non-coding RNA is filed under the name Capsicum annuum. RNAcentral's name for it is "long non-coding RNA (CANN_LNC006792)". The record is from RNAcentral. Lineage: Eukaryota; Viridiplantae; Streptophyta; Magnoliopsida; Solanales; Solanaceae.